Molecule: long non-coding RNA, 924 nt
Filed under: Polistes fuscatus (common paper wasp)
Lineage: Eukaryota; Metazoa; Arthropoda; Insecta; Hymenoptera; Vespidae
Description: uncharacterized LOC122524362
Source: RNAcentral
GAAAAAAAAAAGGAACAAAAAGAAAAAUUGUUAGAGAAAAAAACAAAAAGGGAGUAAUAAUUCGUCCUUGACCCUUCCUGCAAAUUUAUGCGCAUGCGCGAAUGAUCGUAACGGUAUUGUAGAAGAGCAAAGAGAGAGAGAGAGAGAGAGAGAGAAAGAGAAAGAGAGAGAGAGUGUUGGAGGGGAAGGAGGAGUAAAGAGAUGGAAGUGGGACGGUAUCUUACAAAACACGUUCCUCUCUUCCUACUCGCGUAUCGCAACGUCUUCUUUGCUCGGACCAACUUGGACGAUCCUCCUCUCGUGUACCUCUCGCAUUUAAUACGUGCGAGUAGUGUACGAAGGAAGGGUUCAGAAAUACUGUCAGGCCUUCGAAUUGGCGAACCUUUUACCAAGGCAGCAUCUUACGCGAAGAAGCGUUUCGCAAAUUUGCAGCAUGGAUGAUUAUACAUGCACGUGCACGUGCACAUGCAUAUGCACUCAUACAGACACGUAUUUGUAAGGUUUCUCGCAUAUAACUUUCCCAAGUGUAAGGUAGUCGAGGGAGAAAAAGAAAUAGAAGAAAAGGGAAGGGAAGUGAGAGAUAAAGGACUCUGGUUGAUGGUACGCACAACGAUGAAAAUUAUUUAUUCGUCGUACGUGCAAAAUAUCAAGUUCACUGUUAAAGGAAAGAAAGAAAAAAAAUAAACGAACAAAUAAAAUUCUAAAGACUCGAAAUCUCGUUUUCCCUCGGUUUUAAGCUCGACUUUUGGAAAAAAAAACCCCGUCGAGCUGAAAUUUACUCGCUCCAAUAAUCAACAACUUCAAAGCGUCGAUUAAUGUUAUACGUUUACCCGACGACCAUUUUUAUGCGUUUAGUUUUUCCCUAGAAGAAGGAGAAGAAGAAGAAGAAGGAGAAGAAGGACAACAGCAACAAAAUCUUCGAAA